UUUCGGAGAGUUUGAUUCUGGCUCAGAACGAACGCUGGCGGCGUGGAUAAGACAUGCAAGUCGAACGGGAUCAUUCCGGUUGGCAACAAUCGGGGUGAUUCAGUGGCGAACGGGUGCGUAACACGUGGGAAUCUGCCCGGAAGAGGGGGAUAGCCCGCCGAAAGGCGGAUUAAUACCGUAUAUAUUGAAAGUGGGGGACCGCAAGGCCUCACACUUCCGGAUGAGCCCGCGUCCUAUCAGCUAGUUGGUGGGGUAAUGGCCCACCAAGGCUUUGACGGGUAGCUGGUCUGAGAGGACGACCAGCCACACUGGGACUGAGACACGGCCCAGACACCUACGGGUGGCAGCAGUCGAGAAUUUUUCACAAUGGGGGAAACCCUGAUGGAGCGACGCCGCGUGGAGGAUGAAGGGCUUCGGCUCGUAAACUCCUGUCACCACAGACAAAUGAUUCACGGUGAACAUCCGUGAAGCUUGAUGGUAUGUGGAGAGGAAGGGACGGCUAACUCUGUGCCAGCAGCCGCGGUAAUACAGAGGUCCCAAGCGUUGUUCGGAUUUACUGGGCGUAAAGGGUGCGUAGGAGGUCUGGAAAGUCGGGUGUGAAAUCUCACCGCCUAACGGUGAAAUUGCGCUCGAAACUCCCAGACUCGAGGACCGGAGAGGAGAACGGAAUUCCUGGUGUAGCGGUGAAAUGCGUAGAUAUCAGGAGGAACACCAACGGCGAAGGCAGUUCUCUGGAAGGUUCCUGACUCUGAGGCACGAAGGCCAGGGGAGCAAACGGGAUUAGAUACCCCGGUAGUCCUGGCAGUAAACGGUGCUCAUUAGGUGUAGGCGGAUUCGACCCCGUCUGUGCCGCAGCUAACGCGUUAAAUGAGCCGCCUGGGGAGUACGGUCGCAAGAUUAAAACUCAAAGAAAUUGACGGGGGCCCGCACAAGCGGUGGAGUAUGUGGCUUAAUUCGAUGCAACGCGAAGAACCUUACCUGGUCUUGACAUGCA
RNAcentral lists this ribosomal RNA (994 nucleotides) under Verrucomicrobiales bacterium. Its description in RNAcentral is "bacterial SSU rRNA". It matches the Rfam family "Bacterial small subunit ribosomal RNA", at positions 1 to 990 of the family's 1533-position model. The record is from RNAcentral. Lineage: Bacteria; Pseudomonadati; Verrucomicrobiota; Verrucomicrobiia; Verrucomicrobiales.